CCUAUUUUCUACUUUUAGCCAUGACAGCCAUAUUGAUUGAUGUACCAUUCUAUAAUAGACCUAUUUACACUUUUAUGCUUAUUAGUCGGCAACUAGAUAAAAUCACAAAUGUUCCUAUUAAAUUUGACAUCACUUUUUUUUAAUUCACAAUUUUAAAAUUGAUUGUUGCUUGACUUCAGUCAGUUAUUCGGAGCAGAUCUAAGGUCAGUUGUAGACAAAAUUCAGCUUAAUUCAAAUAGUGAAAAUAGGUUUAUUCACAAACUAUAGGAUAGACAUCCUAGAAAAAAUCGUUUGGUAUUACAAUGAUUCAGUUGUGACCUUAAAUAUUUAAGAGCAAUAACUCCUAAAAGGAGCCAUCUAUGAAAUGUAGGUAGCUCUCGUUAUUUUGAACACUUGUUCCACUCCAAAUUUAUUCUACCUAUUAUGGUUUUCAACAUCUAUGACAAAGACUUAUAUUUUCAACUUAUGUAUUGCUUUCAACUGUGACAUUCGUUUAAAUGGAUAAUAAGUAAUACAAUUUACAAUUUAAGUGCAUUUCAAAGAGAAUUCUCUG
This 553-nucleotide long non-coding RNA is filed under the name Mytilus galloprovincialis (Mediterranean mussel). The record is from RNAcentral. Lineage: Eukaryota; Metazoa; Mollusca; Bivalvia; Mytilida; Mytilidae.